Molecule: ribosomal RNA, 1394 nt
Filed under: uncultured bacterium
Lineage: Bacteria
Description: bacterial SSU rRNA
Rfam family: Bacterial small subunit ribosomal RNA
Source: RNAcentral
UUCGCCCUUAGAGUUUGAUCCUGGCUCAGGAUGAACGCUGGCGGCGUGCUUAACACAUGCAAGUCGAACGGAGCUAUGAGAGAAGCUUGCUUCACUUUUAGCUUAGUGGCGGACGGGUGAGUAACGCGUGAGUAACCUACCCUUCAGAUUGGAAUAACAUCGAGAAAUCGGUGCUAAUACCGAAUAAUGUCGGAUUGCCGCAUGACAGACCGACCAAAGAUUUAUCGCUGAAGGAUGGACUCGCGUCCGAUUAGUUUGUUGGUGGGGUAACGGCUCACCAAGACUGCGAUCGGUAGCCGAACUGAGAGGUUGAUCGGCCACAUUGGGACUGAGGCACGGCCCAGACUCCUACGGGAGGCAGCAGUGGGGAAUAUUGGGCAAUGGGCGCAAGCCUGACCCAGCAACGCCGCGUGAAGGAUGAAGGUCUUCGGAUUGUAAACUUCUUUGAUCAGGGACGAAACAAAUGACGGUACCUGAAGAACAAGCCACGGCUAACUACGUGCCAGCAGCCGCGGUAAUACGUAGGUGGCGAGCGUUAUCCGGAUUUACUGGGUGUAAAGGGCGUGUAGGCGGUUCUGCAAGUCAGAAGUGAAAUUCCCGGGCUUAACUCGGGCGCUGCUUCUGAAACUGCAGAACUUGAGUACUGGAGAGGAUAGUGGAAUUCCUAGUGUAGCGGUAAAAUGCGUAGAUAUUAGGAGGAACACCAGUGGCGAAGGCGGCUAUCUGGACAGUAACUGACGCUGAGGCGCGAGAGCGUGGGGAGCAAACAGGAUUAGAUACCCUGGUAGUCCACGCUGUAAACGAUGAAUACUAGGUGUGGGAGGACUGAACCCUUCCGUGCCGCAGUUAACACAAUAAGUAUUCCACCUGGGGAGUACGAUCGCAAGAUUGAAACUCAAAGGAAUUGACGGGGGCCCGCACAAGCAGUGGAUUAUGUGGUUUAAUUCGACGCAACGCGAAGAACCUUACCGAGGUUUGACAUCCCACUAACGAAGUAGAGAUACAUUAGGUGCCCUUCGGGGAAAGUGGAGACAGGUGGUGCAUGGUUGUCGUCAGCUCGUGUCGUGAGAUGUUGGGUUAAGUCCCGCAACGAGCGCAACCCCUGUGAUUAGUUGCCAUCAUUAAGUUGGGCACUCUAGUCAGACUGCCCGUGAAAGCGGGAGGAAGGUGGGGACGACGUCAAAUCAUCAUGCCUCUUACGACCUGGGCUACACACGUGCUACAAUGGUGUAAACAAAGGGAGGCAACCCCGCGAGGGCAAGCGAAUCCCAAAAAUAACGUCUCAGUUCGGAUUGCAGGCUGCAACUCGCCUGCAUGAAGCUGGAAUCGCUAGUAAUCGCGAAUCAGAAUGUCGCGGUGAAUACGUUCCCGGGUCUUGCACACACCGCCCGUCA